This 68-nucleotide transfer RNA is filed under the name Hoplopleura kitti. RNAcentral's name for it is "tRNA-Asn". The record is from RNAcentral. Lineage: Eukaryota; Metazoa; Arthropoda; Insecta; Psocodea; Hoplopleuridae.
UUAGUUAAAACCAAUAAUAUUGAGGUUCCACAUUGUUACUGUGGUCAUAGGACAGACUCCUAACUACG